CGAACGGGUGAGUAACACGUGAGUAGCCUGCCCACAACUUUGGGAUAACGCUAGGAAACUGGUGCUAAUACUGGAUAUGUGCUCCUGCUGCAUGGUGGGGGUUGGAAAGCUCCGGCGGUUGUGGAUGGACUCGCGGCCUAUCAGCUUGUUGGUGGGGUAGUGGCCUACCAAGGCGGCGACGGGUAGCCGGCCUGGGAGGGUGACCGGCCACAUUGGGACUGAGAUACGGCCCAG
RNAcentral lists this ribosomal RNA (234 nucleotides) under uncultured Actinomycetales bacterium. RNAcentral describes it as "partial 16S ribosomal RNA". It matches the Rfam family "Bacterial small subunit ribosomal RNA", at positions 99 to 334 of the family's 1533-position model. The record is from RNAcentral. Lineage: Bacteria; Bacillati; Actinomycetota; Actinomycetes; Actinomycetales.